Molecule: ribosomal RNA, 141 nt
Filed under: Clostridium perfringens
Lineage: Bacteria; Bacillati; Bacillota; Clostridia; Eubacteriales; Clostridiaceae
Description: partial 16S ribosomal RNA
Rfam family: Bacterial small subunit ribosomal RNA
Source: RNAcentral
UAAAUUGAGAGUUUGAUCCUGGCUCAGGAUGAACGCUGGCGGCGUGCUUAACACAUGCAAGUCGAGCGAUGAAGUUUCCUUCGGGAAAUGGAUUAGCGGCGGACGGGUGAGUAACACGUGGGUAACCUGCCUCAUAGAGUG